RNAcentral lists this long non-coding RNA (483 nucleotides) under Homo sapiens (human). RNAcentral's name for it is "HSALNT0023353". The record is from RNAcentral. Lineage: Eukaryota; Metazoa; Chordata; Mammalia; Primates; Hominidae.
GCAAGGGGCAGGGCGGGGCUCGGCCAGCGUAGUCAUUGCCCAUGGAAUCUCAAACACUGGGUUGCUUUUCACCGAGGCCACGCGCCAGCGACUCUGAAGCCUCCUCUCCUCCAGCGGAUCGUGGCCCGCGGCUUCUCGCCCUCGCUUGCACGCUUUGCCCAAGAACUCUUCCCGGGGCAGAGAAGUUGUGGAAACAAGCGGCUGGCCCGACGGCGGAGAAAGCGGGCUGCGGGGCUGCAGGUCAGCGUGAUGGAAGAGAGGAAGGCGCACGGCGGGUGGAAUAAACGCGCAUGGGUGUGAGGACGGAGACGCCCCGAGGGGCUGAACGCGCGGAGCAUCGGAGUGAGGGAGCGACCCCUAAGGACGCCUUCUAAGGGGCUCACAGGCCCAAACACAGCGGGGCAGCCUGAUCGGCGCCCCAGCCAGAAAGGCGGGGACAGAGCCCUCACUCCCUCUCCUCCCCAAAAGAAAAUAAUGCAACGA